AGUGAACGCUGGCGGUAGGCCUAACACAUGCAAGUCGAACGGCAGCACAGUAAGAGCUUGCUCUUACGGGUGGCGAGUGGCGGACGGGUGAGGAAUACAUCGGAAUCUACUUUUUCGUGGGGGAUAACGUAGGGAAACUUACGCUAAUACCGCAUACGACCUACGGGUGAAAGCAGGGGAUCUUCGGACCUUGCGCGAUUGAAUGAGCCGAUGUCGGAUUAGCUAGUUGGCGGGGUAAAGGCCCACCAAGGCGACGAUCCGUAGCUGGUCUGAGAGGAUGAUCAGCCACACUGGAACUGAGAAACGGUCCAGACUCCUAAGGGAAGCAGCAGUGGGGAAUAUUUGACCAAGGGCGGAAGCCUGAUCCAGCCAUACCGCGUGGGUGAAGGAGGCCUUCGGGUUGGAAAACCCUUUUGUUGGGAAAGAAAAGCAGCAGGUUAAAACCCCGCUGUUCUGAAGGUACCCAAAAGAUAAGCAACGGCUAACUUCGUG
Molecule: ribosomal RNA, 492 nt
Filed under: uncultured bacterium
Lineage: Bacteria
Description: partial 16S ribosomal RNA
Rfam family: Bacterial small subunit ribosomal RNA
Source: RNAcentral